AUGGCCGACCCACAAUGUACUGUGUGGCUGGAGUCGAACUCUUAGGCGGGUUACUACCAUGAUCCUGGUUACAAUGAACAGGAAACAAUAACAGAGGUGCUUUCCUGUCUGGAGAUAUCACCCCCCAGCGGUGUGCCAGGCGCGUCGCCAUGGGAGCAGCCAGGAGACAUGGGGCGACAUGAAGAGACGCCAUGAGGCAUGCAACACUGCUCCAGCCCGUGCUCCUGCCUGCUGACCUGCCUGCUCGCAGACACGGGCCUCGCCGCCUCCUCGGCCUCCACCAAGCAGCGACGCAAGGGCCGCGGAGGCGGCGCCGCGGCGCCCUCGGCCUCGGCCAGCAGGCGAGCGGGCGGCGCGCUGCGCCGUGGCGACGGCCAGCGCCAGUCCACGCCGUUCCUACCCGAGGCCCGCCAUGUCGUUUACCCGGGUCACAUGCAGGCUCGCUGGGUGGCCGAGGGCAGUCGACGGCGACCUCCAGGAGAAGCGCCGCGCGCCGCCACGUCGCGGCCAGUGUCACGGACCGCCUCCUCCAGACCCACGUCCGCAUCGGCGAGCCGCAGCCACCACCUCCCGACGGGUCACCCCGCGGGGCACCCCACGGGGCAGCCCGCUGGACAGCAGCCCGGUGCGGGGAAGGACCGCGAUAAGCCUGCGAGGGGCGCCGCGAGGGCCGGGCUGCAGCGGGGCCCGCGCCCACCAGGGCCGCAGUGCGC
Molecule: long non-coding RNA, 713 nt
Organism: Frankliniella occidentalis (western flower thrips)
Lineage: Eukaryota; Metazoa; Arthropoda; Insecta; Thysanoptera; Thripidae
Exons: 3
Source: RefSeq, a predicted model, not a curated record